GUCCCCGUCGAUUAGUGGUUAGAUCAUCACGUUGUGGUUGCGAAAACAUCGUGGAUUUAGCAACCGUGAAGACGCAGGCUCGACUCCUGCCAGGGACA
Rhodocollybia butyracea is the source of this 98-nucleotide non-coding RNA. The record is from the annotation of a GenBank genome assembly. Lineage: Eukaryota; Fungi; Basidiomycota; Agaricomycetes; Agaricales; Omphalotaceae.